Long non-coding RNA from Sinocyclocheilus rhinocerous, 1250 nucleotides. RefSeq lists it as uncharacterized. Lineage: Eukaryota; Metazoa; Chordata; Actinopteri; Cypriniformes; Cyprinidae. The record is from RefSeq and is a predicted model, not a curated record. The transcript has 2 exons.
CAGGGAUAUAAAGGUGAAGAGAGAUUCACAUCCUUUAAAGCCUGUAUGAAGAAGGAACUCACUGCUAAAUAGGUGAAAGUCCCGCUGAGUGUUUCUCUUCACCCUCACGUCACAUUGAAGAAAUCUCACGUUGGAUUAAAGUUCUCAGUGACUCGAUGCAAUUAUCUACCUGACCUGUCUCAAACUCUGUAAGAUACAAAUACUGCCAUAAUUAGAUUAACACAUGCUACCUCCUUAGACUGUAGUUGCAGCGUUGUCACUUGGCAGACACUUUCUGAACACUUUAAAAGCCAUUAACUAAAAGGGAUAACACUUUUAUGAAAUAGCCAUGCUACUUUUAUUAAUCAAAGAGUUAUUUAUUAAAUGUCUUUUAAAUUGAAAUGGGUCCAGUGCCCACAUUUUGGGAUAAAUUAUGUUGAUUAAUGAAUUACAAAGUAGUGUCUUUAUUUAUGAUGACAUUACUUCAUAAUUUUAAAGGGAACUGUGUUGAAGUGAAAAGUGCUGAAUUCUGAUGGCGUGUACAGUUAUAUAUUCUAUUUAUUGAUCUAUUUUGUGUAAAGAAAAGGUUCUCUUGGGUUUUAAUGCCUCUGUAGUGCUGUAUUGGCAAUGCAUUGUUAUAUAUGCUUCUCUAGAAGUUAUAAGCCAGAUAAUCUUUCCUUACAAUGAGCACAUUGCUAACAUAGUUUCUCUGAGCUUGUCCACUGCCCACCACCCAGAUCAGCUUACACAGGGUCUGACAGUGCUGAGUGCACACAGCAAUAAUGAGUCCUCAGUAGUCUCACAAUGUGCUACACAUACAGAGCCCUCUCUCCACCUCUUUCAUGAGUUUCUUACACUGCCGCUCCUUUAAGAAACAUCUUGUGAAGCCAAAACAACAAACGAGAAGAAACUGAAUCCCACUGAACUCUAAUCAGGCCUGGUUUCAUGUAGGUUUAGAGAUAUGAUAUCCAUCUCUGUGAAUCAUUUUAUAAUGGUUUUAACUGACCUAUCUUCAGAAUUCUGACAGUGCUUUAGACUUAAGUUAUUUUUGAUUGUUCUUUUAGGUGAUUAAGCAUAUUACAGUGUGCGGUUUUUAUUAUCAUUGUCAUAAGUAACAUUAUAGGGGAAGCCAGGGCUAGUUGUCACACAUUACUCUAGUGAAUAAUUCUCAGGGUGUUUAUUUUUUUCAACAUCUGUGCAGAUAUUUUUAAAUCAUUGGCAACAAAAAGCUUUUGAACAUUACCACCAUUAUUGUCCAGGAAAUAAGAUAC